GCUCAGAUUGAACGCUGGCGGCAGGCCUAACACAUGCAAGUCGAACGGUAACAGGAAGAAGCUUGCUUCUUUGCUGACGAGUGGCGGACGGGUGAGUAAUGUCUGGGAAACUGCCUGAUGGAGGGGGAUAACUACUGGAAACGGUAGCUAAUACCGCAUAACGUCGCAAGACCAAAGAGGGGGACCUUCGGGCCUCUUGCCAUCGGAUGUGCCCAGAUGGGAUUAGCUAGUAGGUGGGGUAAAGGCUCACCUAGGCGACGAUCCCUAGCUGGUCUGAGAGGAUGACCAGCCACACUGGAACUGAGACACGGUCCAGACUCCUACGGGAGGCAGCAGUGGGGAAUAUUGCACAAUGGGCGCAAGCCUGAUGCAGCCAUGCCGCGUGUAUGAAGAAGGCCUUCGGGUUGUAAAGUACUUUCAGCGGGGAGGAAGGGAGUAAAGUUAAUACCUUUGCUCAUUGACGUUACCCGCAGAAGAAGCACCGGCUAACUCCGUGCCAGCAGCCGCGGUAAUACGGAGGGUGCAAGCGUUAAUCGGAAUUACUGGGCGUAAAGCGCACGCAGGCGGUUUGUUAAGUCAGAUGUGAAAUCCCCGGGCUCAACCUGGGAACUGCAUCUGAUACUGGCAAGCUUGAGUCUCGUAGAGGGGGGUAGAAUUCCAGGUGUAGCGGUGAAAUGCGUACAGAUCUGGAGGAAUACCGGUGGCGAAGGCGGCCCCCUGGACGAAGACUGACGCUCAGGUGCGAAAGCGUGGGGGAGCAAACAGGAUUAGAUACCCUGGUAGUCCACGCCGUAAACGAUGUCGACUUGGAGGUUGUGCCCUUGAGGCGUGGCUUCCGGAGCUAACGCGUUAAGUCGACCGCCUGGGGAGUACGGCCGCAAGGUUAAAACUCAAAUGAAUUGACGGGGGCCCGCACAAGCGGUGGAGCAUGUGGUUUAAUUCGAUGCAACGCGAAGAACCUUACCUGGUCUUGACAUCCACAGAACUUUCCAGAGAUGGAUUGGUGCCUUCGGGAACUGUGAGACAGGUGCUGCAUGGCUGUCGUCAGCUCGUGUUGUGAAAUGUUGGGUUAAGUCCCGCAACGAGCGCAACCCUUAUCCUUUGUUGCCAGCGGUCCGGCCGGGAACUCAAAGGAGACUGCCAGUGAUAAACUGGAGGAAGGUGGGGAUGACGUCAAGUCAUCAUGGCCCUUACGACCAGGGCUACACACGUGCUACAAUGGCGCAUACAAAGAGAAGCGACCUCGCGAGAGCAAGCGGACCUCAUAAAGUGCGUCGUAGUCCGGAUUGGAGUCUGCAACUCGACUCCAUGAAGUCGGAAUCGCUAGUAAUCGUGGAUCAGAAUGCCACGGUGAAUACGUUCCCGGGCCUUGUACACACCGCCCGUCACACCAUGGGAGUGGGUUGCAAAAGAAGUAGGUAGCUUAACCUUCGGGAGGGCGCUUACCAC
RNAcentral lists this ribosomal RNA (1449 nucleotides) under uncultured organism. RNAcentral describes it as "16S ribosomal RNA". It matches the Rfam family "Bacterial small subunit ribosomal RNA". The record is from RNAcentral.